RNAcentral lists this ribosomal RNA (565 nucleotides) under uncultured bacterium. Its description in RNAcentral is "bacterial SSU rRNA". It matches the Rfam family "Bacterial small subunit ribosomal RNA", at positions 334 to 912 of the family's 1533-position model. The record is from RNAcentral.
GACAUUACGGGAGGCAGCAGUAGGGGAUAUUGCUCAAUGGGCGAAAGCCUGAAGCAGCAACGCCGCGUGUGUGAUGAAGGCCUUCGGGUCGUAAAGCACUUUUCUGGGAGAUGAGAAAGGACAGUAUCCCAGGAAUAAGUCUCGGCUAACUACGUGCCAGCAGCCGCGGUAAAACGUAGGAGGCAAGCGUUAUCCGGAUUCACUGGGCGUAAAGCGCGUGCAGGUGGCGCGGUAAGUUGGGCGUGAAAUCUCCCGGCUCAACUGGGAGAGGUCGUUCAAUACUACCGUGCUUGAGAGCAGAAGAGGAAGAUGGAAUUCCCGGUGUAGUGGUGAAAUGCGUAGAUAUCGGGAGGAACACCAGUGGCGAAGGCGAUCUUCUGGUCUGUUUCUGACACUCAGACGCGACAGCUAGGGUAGUAACACCGGGAUUAGAGACCCCGGUAAUCCUAGCCGUAAACGAUGUGAACUUGGCGUUGGUGGGUUAAACUCCAUCAGUGCCGUAGCAAACGCGAUAAGUUCACCGCCUGGGGACUACGGCCGCCAAGGUUAAAACUCAAAGGAAUUG